This 1650-nucleotide long non-coding RNA is filed under the name Podarcis lilfordi (Lilford's wall lizard). The record is from RNAcentral. Lineage: Eukaryota; Metazoa; Chordata; Lepidosauria; Squamata; Lacertidae.
AGUGUGUGAAGCAAUCCUAAGAGAAUGAUAACUUGGGAAACUGCUCUGCUUGGCUGUCCUACAAUUGCAUUCAGGAUAAGAAGAAGACUACAGUGAGGGCAGGCAGAUCUCUGAAGCACCAGGUGUGUAUCCUUUCUCCUCAAACUACUUGCCAGAUCAAACACUGCACAGAAUUUUCCCCACCAAUUGAUCUACAUUGGAUUAUUCCUGUCUGAUUUAGGGAUGCAGGAAGAGCUGCUGGUUUGUUCUAUUUGUCUAGUUUUAGGAGGGUUUUAAAAAUAAUUAAUUAACUAAAAACAUUUAAAGACAAACGAGAGAGAGAGAGAGACAUUGCACAUACUUUUGUAAACCAAGAAAAUCUUUAGUAAAGAUACAUUAAAAAGAAACAUUUAAAGACCACUUGAUUGUAAUAGAAUCUCUGUAAACAAAACAUGAAAAUUACCAAAAACUGACAGUUAAAAACAAGUAUGGAAUAUAAUUUAAAUCAGCAGUAAACUAAAAAGAUAUUAAAUAAAACACAUUCCAUUUCUACAUGUCUAGAUAGGCUAGCCUAAGCAAAAACACCUUUAGCAGGUGCCGAAUAUAGUACUUUUUUGUUAUUUUUAUUUUCCAGUGCUUGCCAGUUUUUGUAGGUCAAUGCCAAUAAAGAUUUGAAUAAAAAUAACUAUUUUGAGCAUCAUUUCUGAAAAUGGCCUCUCUUCAUAGUUGUUUUUUAAAAAAACAACAACCAACAAUAACAAAUAGCUUGUGUCUACUUCAGUUUCAUACUUUCCAAAUUUCUCAGUUAAAAAAGGGUUUCCUAUUCAGUAAGACAAUAGUUACUUUAGUGUGAGUGAAUAUAUAUGUAUAAGUAAGCACACACACACACACACACUUUUAUGGGGCCUGGAUACAUUCAUGUCCUGUUAACAUAGCAUGGAAACAUUCCUUUCAUUCAUGUUGCCUUUAGUUUCAUUCAUGUUGCCUUAUCUAGCUAUGAACUCAAGAGAUGGCCCUAGACAAGUUCUGUCUCUCGACCCUAGCACCUUGGAAUGUAUACAAGUUAAUGAUAAGGUUGGGCUUGAUUGUGUCCAUAAAGAAGAUAAUUAUUUAGAGAGACAGAGUCAUCUCAGGCUGAUUUGGAGUUGAUGGUCCAACUUCCUUGGCCUGAGCACAAAUUAUCUAUUCAGUUAACUGUCAGAGAAUUCCUCAUCUGAAAAUUAAGAUUACAGGAUUUCUUUGUAUUACAGCCUUAUUCCUGACACGAUGAACCAUGAUUGAUCCUGAGAUUGAUCACUGCCAUUGUGUGAGUAUGUUUUAACAUGCAGCCUGAAAAGAAGAGGAGUUCUGAAGCAUGUGGACUACCUCUACUCAUUGGCAGAGUUUGCUUGGAAAUGUUUUGCUUUGCUGAUGGCAGUAAGCCCUUGUGACUUCCAGCAACCUGCCUAGCAUAUCAGUUUGUAUAGAAUGCUAAACCAUGGCUUACUAAACUAUGGUUUAUUAAACCAUGGUUUAGCUGCAUUAUGUGUCAACCCAGCCCAUAACUAUGGUUUAUUUACUAUGGUUAAAUGUUCUAGCUAGUUUAAAAAUCUUAGCUAAUGUUAACCAUAGCUUAGUGUUACAUGUGAACCUGGAUACCCUCCUUAGCUAUGGUUAAAGUGCCAUCGCCCA